GAUGAACGCUGGCGGCGUGCUUAACACAUGCAAGUCGAACGAUGAAGCCCAGCUUGCUGGGUGGAUUAGUGGCGAACGGGUGAGUAACACGUGAGCAACCUGCCCCUGACUCUGGGAUAAGCGCUGGAAACGGCGUCUAAUACUGGAUAUGUCCCAUCACCGCAUGGUGUGUGGGUGGAAAGAUUUUUCGGUUGGGGAUGGGCUCGCGGCCUAUCAGCUUGUUGGUGAGGUAAUGGCUCACCAAGGCGUCGACGGGUAGCCGGCCUGAGAGGGUGACCGGCCACACUGGGACUGAGACACGGCCCAGACUCCUACGGGAGGCAGCAGUGGGGAAUAUUGCACAAUGGGCGCAAGCCUGAUGCAGCAACGCCGCGUGAGGGAUGACGGCCUUCGGGUUGUAAACCUCUUUUAGCAGGGAAGAAGCGAGAGUGACGGUA
Molecule: ribosomal RNA, 437 nt
Filed under: uncultured bacterium
Lineage: Bacteria
Description: bacterial SSU rRNA
Rfam family: Bacterial small subunit ribosomal RNA
Source: RNAcentral